GUCAUUUGUUCUUCCGCCAGCGCCCAUCGUGAAGACCACAGUUUCCUGUCGCGUGGAUGUGUUUCCUCUCUGGCCAUUGCCAUCCGCCCAAAUCUACAGACAUCCCGCAUGUUCCCGGGCUCGUCUCCCCAAUACAGGGCACCAAGGCUGUAGACUGCGCAGCCCUCCUGGAGACAGAUGGAAGCUCCUUGGGUCGACAGAUUACAGCUUCUGGAACCCCCUACUCCCUUCAACUCCGAGAUGGACACCCACUGUCCAGGGAGAGGAUGCCUGGAAAUAACAGCUGGGAUCUACAGUGGCCAAAGAGUUGUCUCCGUCUUGCUACAUCGACAAACUGGUGCUCCUGAGUGAGGAUUGUGCCCUGGGAUGGGGGAUUCAGUUUCUUCAUUUAUAGUUGGAAGUGGGUGAAGCCACUUCGGAAGCGUUUUCCUCUCCACUCUGACAACAGGCAAGAGUGAGGGUCCAACAAUACAGAGGAAGUAACGUGUCGCUGCUACUCUUCCAUGCCCAGUGCCAGGAGCGACGGUACACUCCAGAGUGCUGUGCCCUGAUGGGCCUUUGAGUGGCCAGUGCAGUGGAUCAUCAGCCCUGUCUCCCAAGAGCUCCAGUCCCUUCUCCGGAGAGGAAGUGGGUCCACUGGCAGCUCAGGAGGCCAUAGCAGCCUUACGGAAGUGUGGGUGGCGCUUUCUGGAAGCUGCACAAGUCAGUGCUGGGUCUUCGCAACUUGGUGUUCUGUUUCCAGAAACUUGGGGUGUUUGCAUGUGCUAGGUCAGCACAGAUUUCCAAAGGAUCUCUAGGAUUGUCACGUGUGCUCAACAGUCCUCCUCGGCUUUCCAGAAGAGGCUGGAACAGGGCCCUUGAAGAUGUUUGUGGACAUCAGAGGGCCAAAGACGACACAAAGUGAAACUGGAGACACCGCCCCCCCUUGGCAUCAUGAAACUGCCGAUGUUACUGGCUCAUGCAUGGGAGACACCAGCAUACAAAGUCUUGACACCAACACCUCAGAGGGCUGUGUUCUGUCCCCGUGACCAUCAUCUAGUGCCUGGAAAGACUAGUGACAAGAACUUGUUGCCAACUUCCUAUUACCUCCCUAACAGUUGUGCAAUAAACCCCAUAGGUUAAUUCAG
RNAcentral lists this long non-coding RNA (1127 nucleotides) under Mus musculus (house mouse). Its description in RNAcentral is "small nucleolar RNA host gene 17". Lineage: Eukaryota; Metazoa; Chordata; Mammalia; Rodentia; Muridae. The record is from RNAcentral.